This 349-nucleotide ribosomal RNA is filed under the name uncultured bacterium. RNAcentral's name for it is "bacterial SSU rRNA". It matches the Rfam family "Bacterial small subunit ribosomal RNA", at positions 8 to 350 of the family's 1533-position model. The record is from RNAcentral.
AGAGUUUGAUCAUGGCUCAGGAUGAACGCUAGCUACAGGCUUAACACAUGCAAGUCGAGGGGAAACGACAUCGAAAGCUUGCUUUUGAUGGGCGUCGACCGGCGCACGGGUGAGUAACGCGUAUCCAACCUGCCCACCACUUGGGGAUAACCUUGCGAAAGUAAGACUAAUACCCAAUGAUAUCUCUAGAAGACAUCUGAAAGAGAUUAAAGAUUUAUCGGUGAUGGAUGGGGAUGCGUCUGAUUAGCUUGUGGCGGGGUAACGCCACCAAGGCUACGAUCAGUAGGGUCUGAGAGGAAGGUCCCCCANAUUGGAACUGAGACACGGUCCAAACUCCGUACGGGAGGCA